GACGAGGGAUCCUAGCGUUGUUCGGAAUUACUGGGCGUAAAGCGCACGUAGGCGGACCAGUCAGUUGGGGGUGAAAUCCCGGGGCUCAACCCCGGAACUGCCUCCAAAACUGCUGGUCUGGAGGUCGAGAGAGGCGAGUGGAAUUCCGAGUGUAGAGGUGAAAUUCGUAGAUAUUCGGAGGAACACCAGUGGCGAAGGCGGCUCGCUGGCUCGAUACUGACGCUGAGGUGCGAAAGCGUGGGGAGCAAACAGG
Molecule: ribosomal RNA, 253 nt
Filed under: uncultured bacterium
Lineage: Bacteria
Description: partial 16S ribosomal RNA
Rfam family: Bacterial small subunit ribosomal RNA
Source: RNAcentral